Prionailurus viverrinus (fishing cat) is the source of this 627-nucleotide long non-coding RNA. RefSeq lists it as uncharacterized. The transcript is spliced from 3 exons. The record is from RefSeq and is a predicted model, not a curated record. Lineage: Eukaryota; Metazoa; Chordata; Mammalia; Carnivora; Felidae.
UCUACCCGGCCGCAGCGCGUCUCUAGGCCAGGUCCCCCGAGAUCGGGGUCACCAAAACUCCCGCAGACCUUUUCCCCUGGGGCGACUCGGGGGGCCUGUUACCAGUAGUCACCACCCUGCCUCGACUCCCUCGGUGAAUCAGGGCCCUAGGGCAGCCCGGAAGUGAAGAUAUAAAGGAAGAUGGCAAGGGAAGCCCCAGCUCUGAGGAAUGAUUGGGCAAGAGCAGCCCUCCUUAGCAAACAUAACAUCCAUCUGCUAAAUGUUCCUUUAGAGUUUUUCUCCAGUGAAAAGCUGUGUGUUGGGUUUCAACUUCAGAUCUGUGCAAAUGACUAACACAAGAACCACAGCUGCAGAGAAGUUCAAGCUGUCAUAGCAUGGGGAACAUUCAGUUCAGAGGAAGUUAAGGUAUAUUUCUCUUUGACUACUCAUACAUCCAGUAACCCCUAAAAAGGGCAAGAAAGUCAAAGGCAAAGCGACCCCUGCUUCACUGAUACACAACUUGCAUACUGUACAUACUAGAACAAGGUCACAAUCUGAAAACAUUUAUAUUUGGCUUUAUAAUGACAUCAGUUCAUUCCCUAUUCUGCUCCAAAAUCUAAGGAAGUGCUUAUUUUACCUCUCUUGUAA